RNAcentral lists this ribosomal RNA (254 nucleotides) under uncultured bacterium. Its description in RNAcentral is "partial 16S ribosomal RNA". It matches the Rfam family "Bacterial small subunit ribosomal RNA", at positions 524 to 776 of the family's 1533-position model. The record is from RNAcentral.
UACGAAGGGAGCGAGCGUUAUCCAUAAUGACUGGGCGUAAAGGGUUCGUAGGUGGUUUUGCCUUGUUAUAUGUGAAAGCCCAAACAAAACUUUGGAACGGCGUAUAAUACAGGAAAACUUGAGGAGAAAAGAGGAAAGUAGAAUUUUGCAAGGAGGGAUGGUAUCCAAAGAUAUGCAAAGGAAUAUCAAUGUGCAUAGGCGGCUUUCUGGUUUUUUGCUGACAUUGGGGAACUAAAGUGUGGGGAGCAAACAGG